GCAAAAAAAGUUUUAUAUGGAUGGGUCCAAGACCACAAAUACUAAUCAUGGAUCCUGAGCUUAUAAAGGAAGUACUCUCGAAAAACUAUGUGUAUCAAAAGCCUCAUGGAAAUCCAUUAGGCACCUUAUUUGUACAAGGAUUAGUAAGCUAUGAGAAAGACAAAUGGGCUAAACAUAGAAAAAUCAUCAAUCCCGCGUUCCAUCUAGAGAAGUUAAAGGUUUGUCAUUCAACUUCGUGAUUGGUCAACCAGAAACUAUUAUGUUGGGUAAUUCUUACUCUAUGUGUGCUCUUGCUUCUAUCCCCUUUGAUUUGCCUUCCUUAUCGUUCAAUCUAAACUUUUAUGUCAUAUGACUAUUUUGAGUAAUAUGAUAUCUGCUGCCUGACUUGAUGUAGACAAUAGUGGUUCUAUAGGGACGAAUCUCGCUUGGAUCAUGAUUCAAUGUUCUAGAUUGUUCUUCCACCAAUCCAUAUAUAAUAUGUUCGCUCUUGCUUCUUUAUUGUUUUAAAUUUGGUCUUGUAUGUUCCACAUAUGACUAUAUUGAGUGAUUUCUGCUACCUAGCUUAAGUUAGACAAUCAGAGAAUGAUUUUAUGAUUCAAAGAAGUCGAAUCUUGUUUGGAUCAUCAUUUGUCAGGACUCUCUUUGCGUAAGUUCCUUGGCUUGGACAGAGUACUUAUUUAGUCCAUGUUGUUCCUAAUUAUGUUCAAGUGUUAGUGUUAUUGACAUUUUCCCUGGUUCACCAUUUUCUCAAACAGCAUAUGCUUCCAGCUUUUUACUUGAGCUGUAGUGAGAUGCUGAGCAAAUGGGAAGACGUUGUUCAAGUUGAAGGCUCUCAUGAGAUAGAUGUAUGGCCUCACCUGCAGCAAUUGACUUGUGAUGUGAUCUCUCGGACAGCUUUUGGCAGUAGUUAUGAAGAAGGUAGAAAGAUUUUUGAACUUCAACAGGAACAGGCUCAGCAUUUUCUCGAAGUUAUACGCUCAGUUUAUAUCCCAGGAUGGAGGUAACUUAAUUCUCCUAAGAGUUUGGAAAAUGUAGCUAUUGGAAAUGCAAAUUGAUUAGUUCUAUUUUUUUGUGAAUGCAUUUUGGUUUUGUGUUUCAUAAAACAAUUUCAAAGAUUUUUGCCAACAAAGAGGAACAGAAGAAUGAAGGAAAUAAAAAAGGAUGUUCGGUCCUCAAUUAGAGGUAUUAUCGAUAAAAGAUUGAAGGCAAUGGAAGCUGGGAACGCGGAUAAUGAGGAUCUAUUGGGCAUAUUGCUGGAAUCGAAUUUUAAAGAAAUUGAACUGCACGGAAAUAAGGACUUUGGAAUGAGCAUUGAAGAAGUCAUUGAAGAAUGCAAGCUAUUCUAUUUUGCUGGCGCAGAAACUACAUCAGUGUGGAUUCUGUGGACUCUGGUGUUGUUGAGCAGAUAUCCAGAUUGGCAGGCACGGGCCAGAGAAGAAGUCUUGCAAGUGUUUGGGAGUCGGAAACCAGAUUUUGAUGGCUUAAAUCAUCUAAAAGUUGUAAGUAUUCUUGUUGUUUGGUUCAAUUUCUAUGCCAUGGGUACUCUCGUUGUUAUUUCUACAAGCACGUGUGAAUUUCUUUUGAUUAUCUCGUUCAUGGUUGCUUAACUGAUAGAGGAGCAUUUCUGUUACAGGUGUGAAUUUCUUUUGAUUAUCUCGUUCAUGCUUGCUUAACUGAUAGAGGAGCAUUUCUGUUACAGGUAACGAUGAUCUUGUACGAGUCGUUAAGGCUAUAUUCCCCAAUAACAGUACUUGCCCGACGAAUUUAUGAAGACAUUACGCUAGGAGAAGUAUCUCUACCAACUGGUGUGCUAGUCUCAUUGCCAAUUAUCUUAUUGCAUCAUGAUAAAGAUAUAUGGGGUGAAGAUGCAAACAAGUUCAAUCCAGAGAGAUUUAGAGAAGGAAUAUCAAGUGCAACAAAGGGUCAAGUUACAUAUUUUCCAUUUGCUUGGGGUCCAAGAAUAUGCAUUGGACAAAAUUUUGCCAUGUUAGAGGCAAAGAUGACUGUGUGUAUGAUCCUACAAAGCUUCUUUUUUGAAUUGUCUCCAUCCUACACACAUGCUCCUCAGUCCUUGGUAACCACUCAGCCUCAGUAUGGUGCUCCACUUAUUUUCCACAAACUAUAAUUUCAUAUUCUGUGAAGAGUUCAUUCAGACUCGAUUCAUGGGUGGAGUUACAAUAUUAAAUAUGGGUUCAGAAACAGUUUCUCUAUUUCAUAAAGAUAGGGGAUUAUGUGGUGUACUCUCCACUCUCCCCUGACCCUCACAUUGGGUAUGUUGUUUUUGUUGUUCAGACAAACUCAGUAGUUUUGGUUUAAAUCUUGCAUUUGUUUCGGGAAAUCCAUUAAAAAUACUAUACAUGGGAAUCCGUGCUAGCACGAGCCUAAUAUAUGUUGCUCUCUUAAUAUCAAAUUAUGUGAUAUAGUUGAAAUUUGGAGAAGUACCCCUAUUUUUUAUAUGGUUGUUAAAUAUUUUAAGCUGUCUACAUUAUUAUGUUUCAAUAAUUUUUAAAAUAUUCACCGAACUAUUUUUUCAAUUACUAAUUCUUUGUGAAAAUAAUAAGAAAAUACUCUCUUCCAAGACACUAAUCAUUUUUGACUUUGUCGAUUUCUUUUGCCUUUUCAUAAAAUAAAAUAGAUACAUAUUUUCCAUACGUAGUAGAUUCAAAUCGAAAAAUCAAAUCUAAAUAAUUUUGAUUCUCACAUUAAUAAACUGAAAAUCAAAUUGAAUAAAUAGAACUCGAUGUCAGCCGCUAAAAUUAAUAAGAUGAGGAAAAAAAGUGAAUGAUUUUGAUUUACAUGCGAUGAUUUUUUCAGUGGCAGGCUAAGUGUACGACUAUUGUACAUUGCUGGGAUGUGUGGAGGGUGGGGAUUCAAUCUAUGUUUUUUAGGAUUAUAAUUACAAAAAAGUCCUCAGAUAUUUGCCUUUGCUCAUCAAUGUCUUAAUUUCCCACAAACAUGGUAGAUAUAAAUAUAUAGUAGUAAUUUAUAUGCACACAUAAAUUUAAUUCAAACAAAAUGGACAAAAUUCAAAUAUUAGUAACAAUAUGUUGUUGUGUCAUAGCAGUUGCUCUGUUUGUGUGUCUAUGGAAAGUACUAAAUUGGGUUUGGUUCAGACCAAAGAAGUUGGAGAAAUUGUUGAGGAAACAAGGGCUAAAAGGGAAUUCAUACAGAAUAUUGUAUGGUGAUAUGAAAGAUUUUUCUGGGAUGAUUAAAGAAGCAAAUUCAAAGCCUAUGAAUAUUUCUAAUGAUGAUUUAUCCCCAAGAUUGGUGCCUUUCUUUCUUGAAAUCAUCAAGAAAUAUGGUAAGUUUUCGAACUCUGAUAACGGGUAAAGUUGUUGGCAUGUGAUUAGGAAGUUGUAGAUUCUAGCUGUGGAAACAGUCUCUUGCAGAAAUGUAGGAGCUUAGUGCAAACCCAUAGCUAAUAUUGUAGCUCCGCAAUCAUCAAGUAACUUAGAUAAGGAGUUUAAUUAUACAAUCAGGUUACUUAUUCUACAAUUACAAGCAAAUUUCCUGGUAAAUAUUAGUAACUGAUAGAAAACUAAAAAUAAAGUAGGGGUGGCAAAAUCAAACGCAACCCAUCCAAUUCGUUUAAGUUGACCCGCUCAUUCAUGAAGUUAAUGAGUUUUGAACUUGACAUCCAUAGCCCUUUUUUAGUUAUUGAGCAACUCUUGAAGUUGAUGUCAUGUAAUAAGAAAAUCACGGGGUUCAAGUCGUAGAACCAACCUUAUGUAGACGUGCACUUUCCGUAGAAAUGUGGGUAACCUUGCUUACAAUAGACUCUUGUAGUUCGUUCCUUUACACACCUGUGCAUAGCAGGAGCUUUAGUGGAUCGGACUACCUUAUACUAACUACUAAUCAGUGAUAUAAUGAUACAAGUAGUUAGAUUAGAUUCAUUAAUUUGUUAUCCAUUCACAAAUCUCUCAUUCAUUUUCACACACAGAGUUAGGAUUUGAAGUUCAAGCUUUUUGAACUUGAAGUUGUACCCAUAGUUCUCUUUAGUUACAAGGUUUGCAAUUAAAUAUCUAUACAUAUUUAUUGAACUUCCUAAUACAAAUAAGCAGUUUAGCUAGAAGCUCCUUGGUGUAUGCAGUUUGUUUCAACUUUUUUUCGAAUUCGAUGAAAUUGUAAUGAGCCUGUUCUCCUGGUUUGUUUAUCUUCUAAAGAACACUCUGUUCAUUUCGUUCUCUUCGAUUGUAUAGAUGUUUUAUUUCGAAAUUUGUACUAGUUGUAGUUAAUCAUGAGACAUAUACAUGUUUGCAGGGAAAAAAUGUUUUACAUGGAUGGGUCCAAGACCACAAAUACUAAUCAUGGAUCCUGAGCUUAUAAAGGAAGUACUCUCGAAAACCUAUGUUUAUCAAAAGCCUCAUGCAAAUCCAUUAGGCACAUUAUUUGUGCAAGGAUUAGUAACCUAUGAGAAAGACAAAUGGGCAAAACAUAGAAAAAUCAUCAAUCCCGCGUUCCAUCUAGAGAAGUUAAAGGUUUGUCAUUCGACUUCGUGAUUGGUCAACCAGAAACUAUUAUGUUGGGCAAUUCAUACUCUAUGUGUGCUAUUGCUUCUAUCUCCUUUGAUUUGCCUUCCUUAUGUCAUUUGACUAUUUCGAGUAAUAUGAUAUUUGCUGCCUGACUUGAUGUAGACAAUAGUGGUUCUAUAGGGACGGAUCUCGCCUGGAUCAUGAUUCAAUGUUCUAGAUUGUUCUUCCACCAAUCGAUAAUAUGUUCACUCUUGCUUCUUGUAUGUUCCACAUAUGACUAUAUUGAGUGAUUUCUACUACCUAGCUUGAGUUAGACAAUCAGAGAAUGAUUUUAUGGUUCAAAGAAGUCGAAUCUUGUUUGGAUCAUCAUUUGUCAGGACUCUCUUUGCGUAAGUUCCUUGGCUUGGACAGGGCAUUUAGUCCAUGUUGUUCUUUAUGCAUUCAGAGAGGACUAUGUUCGGUGGAAUAAUUUCUUAGAUAUGUUUACUAGAUGGU
This 4967-nucleotide long non-coding RNA is filed under the name Solanum tuberosum (potato). RNAcentral describes it as "long non-coding RNA (STUB_LNC007733)". The record is from RNAcentral. Lineage: Eukaryota; Viridiplantae; Streptophyta; Magnoliopsida; Solanales; Solanaceae.